Long non-coding RNA from Neofelis nebulosa (Clouded leopard), 524 nucleotides. RefSeq lists it as uncharacterized. The record is from RefSeq and is a predicted model, not a curated record. NCBI's taxonomy places the organism in Eukaryota, Metazoa, Chordata, Mammalia, Carnivora, Felidae. The transcript is spliced from 3 exons.
CCGUGAGAGCCACGUAACCUGUGACAAGGUGGAACGGGAGGGAGCCUCUUCCCUCCACUCCAGCCCGGACUUGACAAGUGUAUUGCGGAGCCCCGCUCUUUACUCCUGCUCUUGGGAGACCUCCGUGUGUGCCUCGGUCCUGUGCACCUCUCACCUGAGCAUCAGAGUCCCAUAUCCAGCUGUGUCCACUUAGCAUCUCAAACUUGGAAUGACCGAGCCCUGCGUCUCUCCCACACCUACGUGCCUCACAGUUGGCCCUACCGUCUUUAGAACACUCUCAGUGCCCAGUUCUGAUGGCAGCCUCUGGGGAGCUUUCCCCCCCUUUUCUGGACUCUCGUAAGACUAGAGUUUCUGUCCAGGAGCCUGGGUGGCUCAGUCGGUGAAGCGUCCAACUUCGGCUCAGGUCAUGAUCUCGUGGUUUGUGGGUUUGUGGCCCGUGUCAGGCUCUGGGCCGACGGCUCGGAGCCCGGAGCCCGCUUCCGAUUCUGUGUCUCCCUCUCUCUCUGCCCCUCCCCCACUCGUGC